AAGACGGCCUAAUACCGUAUGAUAUCGUUUGCUGACAUCAAAUAACGAUUAAAGGUUUAGCGGUUAUGGAUGGGGAUGCGUCUGAUUAGCUUGUUGGCGGGGUAACGGCCCACCAAGGCGACGAUCAGUAGGGGUUCUGAGAGGAAGGUCCCCCACAUUGGAACUGAGACACGGUCCAA
Molecule: ribosomal RNA, 179 nt
Filed under: uncultured Bacteroidales bacterium
Lineage: Bacteria; Pseudomonadati; Bacteroidota; Bacteroidia; Bacteroidales
Description: partial 16S ribosomal RNA
Rfam family: Bacterial small subunit ribosomal RNA
Source: RNAcentral